CCAGGGGUUGGGGUCAGAGCUGGGAGAGCGAGGGAGGGAGGAGAAGGAAGUCACACUUGGUCCAUUUCCACUGAGUACACAGCUAUCAUCCGACCUCAGUGAAAACCCUCCUUCCUCUUUUCUCAUCGUGCUUAAUACAUCCUAAGAGCAGCCAAAGAGGUGAGGUGUUAAUUUGUCUCUGGCGGACCCAGCCGCAGCUCCGGCUCAGCCUCAACACCGGGGGAAUCUAGCUCUUUGAAGCAGCUAGUCACUAAGCCACAGGAAGUGGAGGAUGGCCACUGGCAAACAGGUCUGGACCUUCAAAAAUAUAGCCACACAGAAAUCUAAGCAUUGCUUUCCUGAGGGUUAGAAGCGAGGAAGAAGAAAAUGGGGUGUUUCGUCAGGCUGAAAAUCUCCUGUGACAAGAUCCCCGACGAAAGAAAGGAAGAAGGAAGCACUUACUUUGGCUCAGCGUUGGAGGGUAAUAGUCCCUUCUCAUGGGGAAGCAAGAAGGAAGCAUUUACUUUGGCUCAGCGUUGGAGGCACACUCCUCUGGCCAGGCUUUGGGGACCCUCGGCCUGGGUUGGCCUCCACUACUCUCGUUCUUCAAAAUUAUACUUGCUUGAUCUAGACUGAACAGCCGUCUAGCGAUGGAGUCUGAACUUAAACAACCACCAUGCUUGCUGCUGGCAAAGGACUGCACAAAUGUAAAUAAAACUUGC
Molecule: long non-coding RNA, 701 nt
Organism: Mesocricetus auratus (golden hamster)
Lineage: Eukaryota; Metazoa; Chordata; Mammalia; Rodentia; Cricetidae
Exons: 3
Source: RefSeq, a predicted model, not a curated record